GGUGGUUAAUUAAUGUAUAUGAAGAUAAAAAGUGGGUUUGAAGAAUAGG
This 49-nucleotide small RNA is filed under the name Staphylococcus aureus. Its description in RNAcentral is "HMPRNC0000_1886". The record is from RNAcentral. Lineage: Bacteria; Bacillati; Bacillota; Bacilli; Caryophanales; Staphylococcaceae.